GGGGUUGUGGCGGAAUGGCAGACGCAGCAGACUCAAAAUCUGCCGACCAUAAAUCGUGUGGGUUCAAGUCCCACCAGCCCCACCA
RNAcentral lists this transfer RNA (85 nucleotides) under Butyrivibrio sp. Its description in RNAcentral is "tRNA-Leu". It matches the Rfam family "tRNA". From Rfam's summary of the family: Transfer RNA (tRNA) molecules are approximately 80 nucleotides in length. Their secondary structure includes four short double-helical elements and three loops (D, anti-codon, and T loops). Further hydrogen bonds mediate the characteristic L-shaped molecular structure. tRNAs have two regions of fundamental functional importance: the anti-codon, which is responsible for specific mRNA codon recognition, and the 3' end, to which the tRNAs corresponding amino acid is attached (by aminoacyl-tRNA synthetases). tRNAs cope with the degeneracy of the genetic code in two manners: having more than one tRNA (with a specific anti-codon) for a particular amino acid; and 'wobble' base-pairing, i.e. permitting non-standard base-pairing at the 3rd anti-codon position. RNAcentral also lists the same sequence under 7 other names. The record is from RNAcentral. Lineage: Bacteria; Bacillati; Bacillota; Clostridia; Lachnospirales; Lachnospiraceae.